Marmota flaviventris (yellow-bellied marmot) is the source of this 356-nucleotide long non-coding RNA. RefSeq lists it as uncharacterized. Lineage: Eukaryota; Metazoa; Chordata; Mammalia; Rodentia; Sciuridae. The record is from RefSeq and is a predicted model, not a curated record.
AGGAUGAAGUCACUGAUGUAGUGUGAGCUCAUGAUAGGACCAUUGCCUAUCUUAUUCUGAGUGGCCCAGUAUUUUUAGACUUUGAGCAUUUGGCAUUGAAAGAAAUGUGUGUCAUUGCACAAUGAAUGCUCUCCCUGACACAUGUUCAGCAACAGAAGGAAGCCUGUCGCUCAGCAUCUGCCCACAUCUCCAUCUGUGGAGAUGUGACCUGGGGCCAGUUGACCUACCCUGGCCUCAGAUGGCUCACUGCAAAGUGGAGUCUUGUUAAACAAGAACAUGACUGAAGCCCCAGGUUGGCAUAUGGGAACCUCUUCAGACACAGGGUCUCACGGAGUUGCUUGGCGCCUCGCCAUUGC